CAUGUAAAGACAUGUGGAGCUGUGGAAAGCAUUCUGCAGUCAUGAAGCUACAAAUCCAUGGAUAAAAAGCUAACCAGCUGAGGACAGCUAUGCAGAAGGGUAGAGAGAGCCCAGACCCUUCGGAAAAUCACGUCACCAACCCAUCCCUGAGACCUCCCGCUCCAGACCACUGAGAAGUCCACACCGCUCAUCAGGUAUCCUGUAAUUAGUGGGCCUACUGUGCCCAUUAAGGGGCAAUGCACCAAAGUAAAAUAAGGAAUUUUUAAUCUUUAUAAAAGCUCGAUGUGAAGAAUUCUCAAGGACACUGAUAAAACUCGUCAGAGGAGAUGGCUGGACUUGGGGAGAUAAUUACCUACGUUAAGCUGCCUCCGAGGUCAACAAACCAAACUCCGACCAGGUUGAACAGUAAGCGAUGAGCCCCAGGAUCCGGGGAUUCAGGCAUCAACCAUGUCUUCGGGAGACCAGGUUCCUGCCUUCUUCCUGCUCUGCCAAUGGGGCUUCGUUCUCAGGCUGCUGGCGAGAGGGGGGCACACGUCCCGGCGGCAUAUUCAGACGGGCCAGAGCCUGUCCAGCUCCACCCGUACCUCCUACCGGUGGACUCCUCCUCCUCCCAGCAUGCACCUGCCAUCCCCUCCAGUCCCCUCACACAUCCACCCUGCUCCCCACCUCUCCCCAGGUCCCACUCAAAUGCCCCUUCCCACAGAGGCCCGCCCCUGUCUUGCUACGUAAGAGGACACCCACCUCCUGCCUCCCUAUUUUCCACAGCGCGCAGCUGCAUCCAACUCAAGGCACGUUGUCUUGGUCUCACGCGUUUCCUGGGCCACACCUGCGUGGUAGGCGCUCCGGGAGCGCAGAAACGAUCGCUCACUCACUCCCCCAGCAGAGCAGGUGUCCCACAGGUGCCUACAGGGGAGAGAAAGCCAGGUGGUAGAUUGAGGACGCCCAGGGGAAGAAGGGAGGGGAGGGAGACGUUUCCAGAGAUUGUGCCCAUAACCCCCCCCGGCCUUCCCCACCCCGCGCAGCAGUCAGAGUAACACACGCCUGCCCCAGCCAGUUUCUGGCAAGGAGAAGGGAUUUCUUCCAGCCCCACAGCAGGCGCUGGAGACAGAUGGAUCCCUGGUCCCUAGCGGUGCCAGUGACACUGCCUGAUACCAGGUUCUCCUGGGCUUUUUCUCUCAUCUGGUUCAGAAACAGUGGCUACCUCAUGCCUUCCCCGCCACGAGCCUGAAGAGUUGUCACCUCUCUGCUUCCACUUCCCCAAGGCCUCAGUCCUGCUAUACCCCGUGGAAAUCCAGUUUCCACCCCAGCCUCCGUCCCUGCUCAGAGCUCGGAAACACGCACUUGUUUCUCAGGACUCCCUCACCCCAGCGUCCUGGGCUCCUCCCCAGCCCCCGUUUCCACGUCACGGUCACAGUUACCACCGCGGAUGCCUGCGGGCCGCCCCUCCCGCCACCUGUCCCCUUUCACCUGCUGGGAAAGCACCACCCGGGCCUCGCACAGCCGAGGCGGUUUCUCUCCAAACCCAGAGGGUUGCGAAAUCGCAGCAACUUCAGGGAAGAAGCCAGGGCGGCAGACGGGCUGCGGGCUGCGUGCAGGGUGGCGCCGGGCUUCCCCGAGGGAGGCGGCCCAGCGCCCUUCUGACC
RNAcentral lists this long non-coding RNA (1643 nucleotides) under Fukomys damarensis (Damara mole-rat). RNAcentral's name for it is "lncRNA (ENSFDAG00000033449.1)". Lineage: Eukaryota; Metazoa; Chordata; Mammalia; Rodentia; Bathyergidae. The record is from RNAcentral.